GAUGAAGAACGUAGCGAAAUGCGAUAAGUAAUGCGAAUUGCAGAAUUCAGUGAAUCAUCGAAUCUUUGAACGCACAUUGCGCCCCCUGGUAUUCCGGGGGGCAUGCCUGUUCGAGCGUCAUUUCACCACUCAAGCCUCGCUUGGUAUUGGGCAACGCGGUCCGCCGCGUGCCUCAAAUCGUCCGGCUGGGUCUUCUGUCCCCUAAGCGUUGUGGAAACUAUUCGCUAAAGGGUGUUCGGGAGGCUACGCCGUAAAACAACCCCAUUUCUAAGGUUGACCUCGGAUCAGGUAGGGAUACCCGCUGAACUUAAGCAUAUCAAUAAGCGGAGGA
RNAcentral lists this unclassified non-coding RNA (331 nucleotides) under soil metagenome. Its description in RNAcentral is "partial contains 5.8S ribosomal RNA, internal transcribed spacer 2, and large subunit ribosomal RNA". The stretch from base 1 to 120 matches the Rfam family "5.8S ribosomal RNA", at positions 35 to 154 of the family's 154-position model. The record is from RNAcentral.